This 302-nucleotide long non-coding RNA is filed under the name Capsella grandiflora. Its description in RNAcentral is "long non-coding RNA (CGRA_LNC001336)". The record is from RNAcentral. Lineage: Eukaryota; Viridiplantae; Streptophyta; Magnoliopsida; Brassicales; Brassicaceae.
AAAAUUUUGAAUUUUAUACAUUUUGAUCCAAACUGAUGAACUCAAGCACUUAUAAGAACUUAUGAUGUUAUUCUAGAGUAUAUUGUAACAGUUUAAGAGUCUCAAACAUUGUUUUAGUAGCUUUUUAAUGAAAUUUUCACAAAUUUACAAACCUUCUUAUAAAAUAACAUGUAACACUUUAAAUUGAUUUGGAUCUUCUGAACAUUUCUAUGCAUAUAACACAAAUAAAAAUAAUCUUAAUCUUGAGUAUUAUAACAAAAAUAUAAACAAUUUUGUGACCAAAAUAUUGUUACAAAUAAGAC